GGAUCCUUGCUCUGAGCAACGACGUCUUCCCGUUCGUGCCCUUUCAUUCCCGGUCCAAGGGCAACAUUCGCCUUGACCGUCCGUCGGGUUUCCUGUGCUGCAUACCUAGUGCAAUGGUAUUCGUUUGUAAAAAUCGUCCCUCGUUCGUCUUGUGAUGCCCGUUUCGACGCGUGCUUCACGGACGAGCCGCGAAGCGCCCGUCGCGGCCCACCUCGCCCGCGUUUAAUCGUGCGUCGUGUGUGGCCCGCGACGGCACGCUCGUGCUCACGGAUGCAGUGCCCGUCGAGGGUACGGGGCUACGGCCCCUCUCUACCCGGAACCAAGCGUUAUGUAGCGCACGACUGUCGCGGUCGCCUCGGGCGGGACGAUCCCACGGGUCGCGCCUCGCCCGAGCGGCCCCGACGUCCGCGAGGA
RNAcentral lists this unclassified non-coding RNA (414 nucleotides) under Geniostoma antherotrichum. RNAcentral describes it as "partial external transcribed spacer". Lineage: Eukaryota; Viridiplantae; Streptophyta; Magnoliopsida; Gentianales; Loganiaceae. The record is from RNAcentral.